Molecule: ribosomal RNA, 624 nt
Filed under: uncultured Streptococcus sp.
Lineage: Bacteria; Bacillati; Bacillota; Bacilli; Lactobacillales; Streptococcaceae
Description: bacterial SSU rRNA
Rfam family: Bacterial small subunit ribosomal RNA
Source: RNAcentral
GACGAACGCUGGCGGCGUGCCUAAUACAUGCAAGUAGAACGCUGAAGAAAGGAGCUUGCUUCUUUUGGAUGAGUUGCGAACGGGUGAGUAACGCGUAGGUAACCUGCCUUGUAGCGGGGGAUAACUAUUGGAAACGAUAGCUAAUACCGCAUAACAGCUUUUGACACAUGUUAGAAGCUUGAAAGAUGCAAUUGCAUCACUACGAGAUGGACCUGCGUUGUAUUAGCUAGUAGGUAGGGUAACGGCCUACCUAGGCGACGAUACAUAGCCGACCUGAGAGGGUGAUCGGCCACACUGGGACUGAGACACGGCCCAGACUCCUACAGGAGGCAGCAGUAGGGAAUCUUCGGCAAUGGGGGCAACCCUGACCGAGCAACGCCGCGUGAGUGAAGAAGGUUUUCGGAUCGUAAAGCUCUGUUGUAAGAGAAGAACGUGUGUGAGAGUGGAAAGUUCACACAGUGACGGUAACUUACCAGAAAGGGACGGCUAACUACGUGCCAGCAGCCGCGGUAAUACGUAGGUCCCGAGCGUUGUCCGGAUUUAUUGGGCGUAAAGCGAGCGCAGGCGGUUUAAUAAGUCUGAAGUUAAAGGCAGUGGCUUAACCAUUGUUCGCUUUGGAAACUG